This 285-nucleotide signal recognition particle RNA is filed under the name Octodon degus (degu). Its description in RNAcentral is "Metazoan signal recognition particle RNA (ENSODEG00000025865.1)". It matches the Rfam family "Metazoan signal recognition particle RNA". Rfam says of the family: The signal recognition particle (SRP) is a universally conserved ribonucleoprotein. It is involved in the co-translational targeting of proteins to membranes. The record is from RNAcentral. Lineage: Eukaryota; Metazoa; Chordata; Mammalia; Rodentia; Octodontidae.
GCCGGGCGCAGUGGUGUGUGCCUGUAGUCCCAGCUACUCGGGAGGCUGAGGUGGGAGGAUCGCUUGAGUCCAGGAGUUCUGGGCUGCAGUGCGCUAUGCCGAUCGGGUGUCCACACUAAGUUUGGCAUCAAUAUGGUGACCUCCCGGGAGCGGAGGACCACCGGGUUGCCUAAGGAGGGGUGAACCGGCCCAGGUUGGAAACAGAGCAGGUCAAAACUCCUGUGCUGAUCAGUGUAUACUUGGUACUGUUUUAAGCACUUCUCAACUAUUAACUCAUGUAAUUCU